Molecule: ribosomal RNA, 465 nt
Filed under: uncultured bacterium
Lineage: Bacteria
Description: partial 16S ribosomal RNA
Rfam family: Bacterial small subunit ribosomal RNA
Source: RNAcentral
CCUACGGGGGGCAGCAGUGGGGAAUAUUGCGCAAUGGGCGAAAGCCUGACGCAGCGACGCCGCGUGAGGGAUGAAGGUCUUCGGAUCGUAAACCUCUGUCAGCAGGGAAGAACGGUCACUGUGCUAAUCAGCAGUGAAUUGACGGUACCUGCAAAGGAAGCACCGGCUAACUCCGUGCCAGCAGCCGCGGUAAUACGGAGGGGGCGAGCGUUAAUCGGAAUUACUGGGCGUAAAGCGCUCGUAGGCGGUAUGUCAAGUCAAGGGUGAAAUCCCCGCGCUCAACGUGGGAACUGCCUUUGAAACUGGCAAACUGGAGUGUGUGAGAGGAUAGUGGAAUUCCAGGUGUAGGAGUGAAAGCCGUAGAUAUCUGGAGGAACAUCAGUGGCGAAGGCGACUAUCUGGCACAUAACUGACGCUGAGGAGCGAAAGCGUGGGUAGCAAACAGGAUUAGAUACCCUAGUAGUC